Arachis ipaensis is the source of this 3728-nucleotide non-coding RNA. The record is from RefSeq and is a predicted model, not a curated record. NCBI's taxonomy places the organism in Eukaryota, Viridiplantae, Streptophyta, Magnoliopsida, Fabales, Fabaceae.
AAACACUGCAUUUUGCUUUCAUCUUUUUCCUUCGGCACUUUGAGAGAGAUGGCUGAACAGAUCCCCUAUGGUGUUGCUACUUCACUCAUCAACAAGAUUGCUUCACUUGCCUUUCGUGAAAUCGGGAGGAUCUAUGGAGUCAUGGAUGACCUUGAGAAGCUGAAGGCCACUUUGGAAUCCAUCAAACUCGUGCUUUCUGAUGCUGAGCUCAAACAAGGCCAGGAUGCUACUGUUGCCCACUGGAUCAAAAGGUUCAAACAAGUGCUCUAUGAUGCUGAUGACUUGCUUGAUGAUGUCUUCAUCAAAGACUUGCGCCGCAAAAGAAUGAGUCAGGUGCGUGGCUUCUUUUCCAAGUCUGUGAAUCCAAUUCUUUUCCGUGCUAAGUUAGCUCGUAAGAUUGAGAAUAUUCGGAAGGAGUUUAAUAAUGUUGCUGAAGAGAUGUCUAAGUUGAACCUGAAUCGGAGUUCGGUAAUUCUUAAGCAAGAUGAGUGUGCGUGGAGGGAAACAAGUUCUUCCGUUUUGCAAUCAGAGAUAAUUGGAAGGGAAGAGAAUAAGAAUGAGAUUGUUAACCUGCUGAAGCAAACUCAUCCGAACCGAAAUGUUUCUUUAAUUGUUGUUGUUGGUAUGGGGGGUUUAGGCAAGACAGCCCUUGCUCAGCUCGUGUACAAUGCUGCUAAAGACCAGAACCUCUUUCAGAAAUAUAUAUGGGUGUGCGUUUCAGAAGAUUUCGAGGUGAAAACUAUUUUGAAGAAGAUGCUGGAGUCUUUAAAGAAGGAUGCUGGUGGUGAUUCAUUAGAGGCCCUACAACAAAAGUUGCGAGAAGAAUUGAAUGGGCAAAAUUAUAUGCUUGUGCUUGAUGACGUGUGGAAUGAAGAUCAUUCAAAGUGGAGUGAUUUAAGAACUCAUUUGAUGUGCGGAGGUCAAGGCAGUAAGCUAUUAGUGACGACUCGUAGUACAUUGGUUUCUAAAGCAAUGGGUAUUGACGAGCCGUAUGUUUUGAGAGGUUUGACAGAUGAGCAAUCAUGGACAUUGCUAAAGAACCUGACAUUUGGUGAAGAUAGCAGCAGAAUGAGAUCUGAAUUACAAACAAUUGGAAAGGAAAUUGCAAAGAAGUGUAAAGGAGUGCCAUUGGCGAUCAAAAUAAUAGGAGGCUUCUUACGGAUAAGUGUUGAAGAAAUUGAUCAAUGGUCAAGUCUUCUGCAUGGUGAUAUUUGGAGGUUAUGUGAAGAAGAGAAUAGUAUCAUGCCGGUCCUAAAUUUGAGUUACCGAAACUUGCGUCCUGAACUAAGACAAUGUUUUGCGUAUUGUUGUCUAUAUCCAAAAGAUUCGGUAAUCGGAAAGGAUGAGUGUAUUCAAUUGUGGAUGGCCCAAGGUUAUCUUGCAAGUUUAACUGGAACGCAAUCUAUGGAAGAUGUGGGUAAUAAUUAUGUGAAGAUUUUGUUAAUGAGGUCAUUCUUCCAGGAUGCAUUAAUGGAUGAAAAUGGUCAUAUUAGGUUCUUAAAAAUGCAUGAUUUGAUGCAUGAUCUUGCAACGUCAGUAGCUGGAAAUGAUUGUUACUUACAUACUGAGGGAAAAGGAAUUGUUGGAAGACCCAUGCAUGUGGCUUUUGAAACUAGUACCAUUUGUUCAUUGGAUGUGCUUGAUGUUUGCAAAUUACGGACAAUCAUCCAUUGCAACAUUGCUAGAAAUUUAGCGGGCAAACUCUCUUUUAUGAAAAAACUGAAGUGCCUUCGUGCUUUGAAUUUGUCAUUUAAUUCUAUGACUCAGCUACCAAAGUCCAUUGAUAAAGUCAAACAUUUAAGAUACCUUGAUCUUUCAUACUCUCUAAAACUAAGAAGUUUGCCUGAAUCGAUUGGCAAUCUUGUUUGUUUGCAAACAUUAAAACUAAAAGGUUGUAAAUCUUUAGUUAGUUUGCCUGAAUCGAUUGGCAAUCUUGGUUGUUUGCAAACAUUAAAUUUAACAUUUUGUGAAUCUUUAGUUAGUUUGCCUGAGUCAGUUGGCAAUCUUAAUUAUUUACAUACAUUGAUAUUGACUUUUUGUAAUAAACUUGUUUUUCCAACAAAGAUUAUUACAAAAUUGAUCAAUUUGAAGGAGCUCGACAUUGAAGGUUGUAAAGCCUUUGAAGAUGGCAUGCCAGUAGGAUUGGGGAAAUUGCUUUCAUUGCAAUCCUUGUCAAGUUUUGUAGUAGGGAAUAACAAAAAAGAUACAAGUGGCAAAUUGAAUGAACUGAAAGAGCUUGUUGACCUCAGAGGCAAAUUGACCAUUCGUAAUUUGGGUUUGGUAAAGGACGCGGCAUCGGAAUCUAAUGAGACAAAUAUGAGAUCAAAGAAACACAUUCAAGACCUUUCACUGUUAUGGGGGAUCAGAUGCUCUGAUUCCAGUGAAUAUGAAAUAAGAAAGAGUGAGAGUUUGGUGUUAUUGGAUAAUCUUUGUCCCCAUCAAAAUCUGAGAUCACUACAUUUGGAAGGCUUUCCAGGAGUGAGGUUUUCAGAUUGGCUUAUCUCGCUAAUUAAUGUUGUUCGCAUAUUUCUCUGGGAUCUUCCCAAUUGCAAACAUCUCCCACCUUUGGAAAGACUGCCUUGCCUUCGUGUGCUCAAGGUUGAUCAUAUGGGAUCGCUGGAGUGGAUGGAUUAUUAUGAAAAUAUUGGUGAUGUGUUUUUCCCGUCUUUGGAGGAACUCGUAAUCAAUUACUGUAACAACCUGAGAGGAUGGCAGAAGAAUGCAAAUGAGACUCAAAACCAUCUUUCUCUACCUCCUUUUCCCCGUCUCUCUUAUCUCCGAAUUGAUAAUUGUCCAAAGUUGACCUGCAUGCCUUCUUUCCCACACCUCGUUGAGUUGGAGUUAGGAGGGGGUAAUAGCGUGAAGCUGAUGUUGGAAACAUGUAUGGUUAAGCAUGACUCUUCAUUCAUCUCUCCUCUCUCUCAUCUCAAGCACUUGUGGCUUAGGGAAGUUACAGGGAUAGAAGCAAUGGCAGUGGACUGGAUGAAAAACCUCACAUCGCUCCAGAGUCUCGACCUUAGUAGAUCGUCAGCCAUUCAGAUUCUGUCACGACACUUGCAAUAUCUUCCUUCUCAACUUCAAGAGUUGAAGAUUAGUUUCAAUGACGACAAGCUUGACCUCUGGAAACACACACAAGGUCGUGAUCCUCCUCAUGCGCUCUCUUCUCUGCAGACAAUCAUCUUCUCCCGUUGUCGGGACAUGAAGGCUUUACCAGAGCAGAUUGGCAACCUCCAAUCACUAAGGGUUUUAGAGAUUAGGUAUUGCCCUAAAUUAGAGUCAUUGGAUGAAGCUGACCGUUGCCUUACCAACAUACACACACUACGGAUCUGUGGUUGUCCAAUCCUAAAGCGCAAAUACGACCCUGAUAGUGGAGAAGAUCGGGCCAAGAUAGCUCACAUCCCAAACAUAUCCAUAUACGGAGAUUGAUACCCUCAAAAGGGGAUUCUUGCAAAUCAUUUUCUUCUUGGCAUACUUUCAAAUUUCAAUAUGCCGAUAUCUGCUGCUUCAAUGGGAAGAUACAAAUACUUGGUCUCAUCAUUCCAUUUUGCAAAAUGUUGAAUCCUCAAGAUGGUCAAAUUCUGACCCAGUUCCUCCUUUGGGUACAACACUGAUUAAAGUAGCAUGCAAAGGAAAUUACAUUCAGCUAUAAGCCAAUUACCCUAGCUUCAAACUUAUUUAGGCAUGGCUUAUCCUUCAGAUUUCAGUUGUGGCAUCUAAAAGUAACUAUG